Molecule: long non-coding RNA, 1569 nt
Filed under: Carica papaya (papaya)
Lineage: Eukaryota; Viridiplantae; Streptophyta; Magnoliopsida; Brassicales; Caricaceae
Description: long non-coding RNA (CPAP_LNC013981)
Source: RNAcentral
UAUGUAUUGUAAUAUAAUCAAAAUAACAUGCGGUUCAAAAUCUCAGGGUCAAAACUAAAAUAUAUUUUACCUAUAUAAAACAUAAUACAAAAAUUCUAAUUCGACUACUUCUAUAACUUCCCCCUAAUCUAAACAAGAUGAGAGUUUAAUUGGAUGAGUUUUUCAACGCGCUCAGUAAAUAUAAGAAAUAAGAUAUACCUUAGGCAUGCGAUAUAUAAGCAAUUAAUCAAUUAGAUAUGUAAAACUUUUAUUUUUCUUUUUAUUUAAAAGCUAUGAAAUGCAGAGAAAUUCAAGUUUCUAAUUAUUCCUCAUUUUCCCACUAACUUCAAACUAACCUUUAUCCCUCAGUCUCCUGCUUUCUAACUAUCUCGCAUUAUCCCCCUAAUUCCCUUUAUUUCUUAAUUUUUAAUUAUAAUCUUAUUUACCACACACAAUUAUUUCAUCACAACUUCAGUCACAUUCGAGAUACCCAUACCCCAUUAACGAGUAUCCCUGAUUCUCAAUUUAUCUCUAAAAAAAUUAUUUAAUUAGAAUUUUCUUAAAAUUUAAAAUUUUAUUUGAGACUAAACUGAUGUAUUCGUCAUCCAAUUUGUACCAUUAUGUGAUCAAGAUUUUUACUAUUAAAGAGCAGUCACACAUAAAUUAUGCAACAACUGAUCACAAUAGACCGUCGCUAGGUGACCCAGAAAUAAACUGCAUCCCAACUACGUCUAGAAGGCCUUUCAUCCACCCAAGGAUAAAGUUUACCGCCCACUGAAUUUCAAACAUACCAAUCUUAAACGAGUUGUCUCUAAAUUUUUACUUUUUUCAAAUCUUUGUUUCAUUUUUUUUUCUUCAUAUUUUAGUUAAAAUUGACAUUUUUAUUUGUUUUAUUUUACAAUUUUGGAGUUUCACUCAUCACUCUCCCUUUUUUUUCCUAACUAAAUUCUUCCUAAUUCACUUUAGAUAUUUUAUUUUACUACUUGAAUUUUUAUUUGUUAAUAUUAAUUUACUUUAUGUAAUUCUUUAUGAUUAGUUAUUAUUGUUAUUGUUAGUAUUUAUUAUUAUUAUUUUAUUUUCUAUUUCCAUCAUUCUUGUAACAGCCCCGGUAAUUCAAAAUGGAAAUUAUAUUAUAAAUAUUAAAUGCGGAAGCGAAGACAAAAUUUGAUUAACAUUCCUUACACUAAAACCAAAAACGUGCUCACAAAAUAUAAAAGAUUAAACUACCUAAAGGGAAAACUUGAAAGUAAAAACUACGAAUGUGACUAUAGAGUCCUUAGGCGUCCCCUUCGUCGUCGUCCUGCGGAACCGGCUCGGGAACGAUGUUCUCUUGAUCUGAAAUGAUUAAAUAAGGAAUGAGCUACACUAGCCCAGUAAAGACAUCACGAUAUCUCACCAUCACGGAGGUAAAUGUGGGUAGAAAACACAAAAAGACCAAUAGAGCAUAAUUUACAACAAAUCCUUUUAUCGAAAAUAAAACCUUUACCAUUUACUUACCUCGGUGAAAUUCAUAAAACGAUAUACGAAAGCAAUAAUAUCAUCAUCAUCAUGAAAACAUAUAUAUGAACUGUAUAACAUAAUACCUAUCAC